AGUGAACGCUGGCGGUAGGCCUAACACAUGCAAGUCGAACGGCAGCACAGUAACAGCUUGCUCUUACGGGUGGCGAGUGGCGGACGGGUGAGGAAUACAUCGGAAUCUACUUUUUCGUGGGGGUUAACGUAGGGAAACUUACGCUAAUACCGCAUACGACCUACGGGUGAAAGCAGGGGAUCUUCGGACCUUGCGCGAAUGAAUGAGCCGAUGUCGGAUUAGCUAGUUGGCGGGGUAAAGGCACACCAAGGCGACGAUCCGUAGCUGGUAUGAGAGGACGGUUAGCCAGACUGGAAGUGAGACAGGGUCCAGACUCCUACAGGAGGAAGCAGUGGGGAAUAUUGGAGAAGGGGGGCAAGCCUGAUACAGCCAUACCGAGUGGGUGAAGAAGGCCUUCGGGUUGUAAAGCCCUUUUGUUGGGAGAGAAAAGCAGCAGGUUAAUACCCCGCUGUUCUGACGGUACCCAAAGAAUAAGCACCGGCUAACUUCGUG
RNAcentral lists this ribosomal RNA (492 nucleotides) under uncultured bacterium. RNAcentral describes it as "partial 16S ribosomal RNA". It matches the Rfam family "Bacterial small subunit ribosomal RNA", at positions 29 to 507 of the family's 1533-position model. The record is from RNAcentral.